UACGUAGGGGGCCAGCGUUGCUCGGAAUUACUGGGCGUAAAGGGUUCGUAGGCGGUGUGGCAAGUCGGAAGUGAAAUCUCCAGGCUUAACUUGGAGACUGCUCCCGAAACUGCCAUGCUAGAGUGCGGGAGAGGCCAGUGGAAUUGCAGGUGUAGCGGUGAAAUGCGUAGAUAUCUGCAGGAACACCCGUGGCGAAGGCGGCUGGCUGGACCGCAACUGACGCUGAGGAACGAAAGCUAGGGGAGCAAACAGGAUUAGAUACCCUGGUAGUCCUAGCCCUAAACGAUCAGGACUUGGGGUGCAUCCCGUUGGGGGUGCGUCCCGUAGCUAACGCGUUAAGUCCUGCGCCUGGGGAGUACGGUCGCAAGGCUGAAACUCAAAG
RNAcentral lists this ribosomal RNA (382 nucleotides) under uncultured bacterium. RNAcentral describes it as "bacterial SSU rRNA". It matches the Rfam family "Bacterial small subunit ribosomal RNA", at positions 524 to 906 of the family's 1533-position model. The record is from RNAcentral.